UUCUUUUGCUUCCAACACGUGGUGCCAGAGAUUUACAGGAACCUUUGCUUCCAUUCCCAGGCCUCUCACUGAGUCAGGCCAAGGAGACAGAUCAUCCCAGCAGUCCUGGUCUUAGGAGUGACAAGGAGCGGAGGGACAGCUUUGGAAAGACCCGCGCUGAAUUGUGCAGGUUGGCUAAAGAGAACUUAGAGCAGAAGAAAAUGGAGAUUUUGAUGGAAGAGAUGAAGAGGAGACAAAAUGAGAAAUCAUUGCAGCUUCCUCCAGAGACAUUUGAGCCUGGAGAUGCAGCUGAAGCAAGCUUCAGCCUACCACCUAUCAAUGGCACAGCUCCCAGUGUACAGAGAAAAGACCCUGGUAGCGCCAUGAAGAAAACAGUCGUGAGAAAGCAGGACACGUUGCCCUUACAGCCCAGUACGCCCACCCUCCAUGGAGAUGGCAGCUUC
Long non-coding RNA from Passer domesticus (house sparrow), 443 nucleotides. RefSeq lists it as uncharacterized. The record is from RefSeq and is a predicted model, not a curated record. The transcript has 3 exons. Lineage: Eukaryota; Metazoa; Chordata; Aves; Passeriformes; Passeridae.